UGGGGAAUCUUGGACAAUGGGGGCAACCCUGAUCCAGCCAUGCCGCGUGAGUGACGAAGGCCUUCGGGUUGUAAAGCUCUUUCGCCCACGACGAUGAUGACGGUAGUGGGAGAAGAAGCCCCGGCUAACUCUGUGCCAGCAGCCGCGGUGAUACAGAGGUCCCAAGCGUUGUUCGGAUUUACUGGGCGUAAAGGGUGCGUAGGAGGUUGAGAAAGUCGGAUGUGAAAGCUCACUGCUUAACGGUGAAACUGCAUUCGAAACUUCUUGACUCGAGGAUCAGAAAGGAAAGCGGAAUUCUUGGUGUAGCGGUGAAAUGCGUAGAUAUCAAGAGGAACGCCAAUGGCGAAAGCAGCUUUCUGGAGGAUUCCUGACUCUGAGGCACGAAGGCUAGGGUAGCAAACA
Molecule: ribosomal RNA, 402 nt
Filed under: uncultured prokaryote
Description: bacterial SSU rRNA
Rfam family: Bacterial small subunit ribosomal RNA
Source: RNAcentral